UACGUAGGCAGCGAGCGUUGUUCGGAAUUACUGGGCGUAAAGAGUGUGUAGGCGGUGCUCUAAGUUCGGUGUGAAAUCUCCCGGCUUAACUGGGAGGGUGCGCCGAAUACUGAAUGACUAGAGUGCGGGAGAGGAAAGUGGAAUUCCUGGUGUAGCGGUGAGAUGCGUAGAUAUCAGGAGGAACACCGGUGGUGUAGACGGCUUUCUGGACCGUAACUGACGCUGAGACACGAAAGCGUGGGUAGCAAACAGG
This 253-nucleotide ribosomal RNA is filed under the name uncultured bacterium. RNAcentral describes it as "partial 16S ribosomal RNA". It matches the Rfam family "Bacterial small subunit ribosomal RNA", at positions 524 to 776 of the family's 1533-position model. The record is from RNAcentral.